Long non-coding RNA from Impatiens glandulifera, 496 nucleotides. RefSeq lists it as uncharacterized. Lineage: Eukaryota; Viridiplantae; Streptophyta; Magnoliopsida; Ericales; Balsaminaceae. The transcript is spliced from 4 exons. The record is from RefSeq and is a predicted model, not a curated record.
GGAGAAUGCUGCUAACUCCUUCAUCAGAGUCUAGUCUGGAAGAUGAUGGAGACGUGUUAUCAAAUAUUGAUUCUCGAGAAGAGAGUCACUCAGAGAGAACUGUUUUACAAGCUGAUUAGCAAUUCUCCUGAAUACUUCCCAUCUCAGUUGGAAGUUAACAGGACUAUUCAAGGCCAUAUUUGGUGUCAUUGCUCCAAUGUACCCGUUACAGUCUUGGAAUCAUGGCAUCUUCCAGAGGGGCAGUUUCUGGGCGUCUAUCUCUUCAGGCAUUCAUUCCAUUACUACGAACUUAGAUACUCAUAAUUGUUCAACUGAAUGUUUUACUAUCUUUCUGCAACUAGGAGCCAAAUCAAGAGGUUGUGGAAUGUGCUGCAUGUGGAUCAUCAGGUUAUGCUAUUACAGGAGACUUGGCUUUGUUAGAGAAAUUGGUUGCAAAAACCGAUGCUCGCUACAUCAUUGUGGUGGAGAAGUAAUCCCCCACAGUUCAAUGGAUUCC